CUUCACACUCUUUCCCCUCCA
Molecule: microRNA, 21 nt
Filed under: Monodelphis domestica (gray short-tailed opossum)
Lineage: Eukaryota; Metazoa; Chordata; Mammalia; Didelphimorphia; Didelphidae
Description: mdo-miR-7355-3p
Source: miRBase by way of RNAcentral